RNAcentral lists this ribosomal RNA (450 nucleotides) under Vibrio parahaemolyticus. RNAcentral describes it as "bacterial SSU rRNA". It matches the Rfam family "Bacterial small subunit ribosomal RNA", at positions 1 to 437 of the family's 1533-position model. The record is from RNAcentral. Lineage: Bacteria; Pseudomonadati; Pseudomonadota; Gammaproteobacteria; Vibrionales; Vibrionaceae.
AAAUUGAAGAGUUUGAUCAUGGCUCAGAUUGAACGCUGGCGGCAGGCCUAACACAUGCAAGUCGAGCGGAAACGAGUUAUCUGAACCUUCGGGGAACGAUAACGGCGUCGAGCGGCGGACGGGUGAGUAAUGCCUAGGAAAUUGCCCUGAUGUGGGGGAUAACCAUUGGAAACGAUGGCUAAUACCGCAUGAUGCCUACGGGCCAAAGAGGGGGACCUUCGGGCCUCUCGCGUCAGGAUAUGCCUAGGUGGGAUUAGCUAGUUGGUGAGGUAAGGGCUCACCAAGGCGACGAUCCCUAGCUGGUCUGAGAGGAUGAUCAGCCACACUGGAACUGAGACACGGUCCAGACUCCUACGGGAGGCAGCAGUGGGGAAUAUUGCACAAUGGGCGCAAGCCUGAUGCAGCCAUGCCGCGUGUGUGAAGAAGGCCUUCGGGUUGUAAAGCACUUUC